AAAAAUCAGACAGUUUCCAUGAGGUGCACUUAUUUCUUUACAUUACUCUUUGUGUGUAUGUGUGUGUGUGUGUGUGUUUGUGUGUGUGUGUGUGCACGUAUAUUUAUAAAUAUAGAUAGAUAGAUAGAUAGAUAGAUAGAUAUGAAUAUUUUGGACAUUCAACAAACAGUCUUCUAUAGUCACAUCUUUAUUAUGAUUCAAUAUAGUAAUCUAUUUCUAUCACGAUUCAUUGAAAUGCUUCCCACACUGUCCUGGGAAGAGAUACAACAAUAACAGUUCCAACUUGUAGUGUGUGUAUCCAGAAAGACAUCGUAAUAAUAACGACCACUUUAGUAUCUGUGUCAAACUUAGCUUUCUAAUAAUGCAUUUACCCAAUUUAUUGAAUGAGGAUAAACAAAACCCCCUUCAGAGCACAUUCUGAAUAUAGUUUUAGUUACAUAUUUUAGUUAUCUUUUCUAAUCUUCUGUAACUAAGCAUAGACUGUACGGGUUUGCUUACUUACAUUUUAGUGACUUUAACUGCACUAUUAACAAAUAUAUAUUAAUAAAACAUCUCAGCUAACAACACUGUGCUGCACUUAAUUUUUUUUCCAGUGUUGCAAUUAUUUACCACUUUGAGCUGUACGCUAAUAAUACUGUAACAAAUUACUGUGUGUGGCAAUUACAGAACUGACAGACAAAGCUGCAAAUGUCAGGUAAAAAGAGCAUUUUUAUUCGUUUGUUGUCUUUAUUUUCCUAAUGCAUUAUUUUUUUCCCUUUAGUGUUUAAGUUUGAGUCGUGAGUCAAGUGUGACUUGAGUCAACAUCCCUAAAUCGAGUAACCAAUCUCUGCCAGGAAAGUCCAAGAUCCAUCAUCUUCCACCCAGCCUUGGAGCUGUGGAAGCACAGGUCCCCUUGGAGAUCAUUACUGAACAUCUGUACACCUUCUCCUCUGAGCUCUCUCGUCAACAAGGUGUUUCAGCCUGCAGACCCUCAGCACACAGGAUGGGUUUUUUUCUAUUUUGUUUUUCAUACCAUUUUAAAGACUGUUGUGUUGUUUAUGAGUUUAUCAAACUGUAUCUGUCUGUAUAUGUCUCUGUAUCUAACUGAGUCUGUAUAUGACUCUUUAUAUAAGCAAGU
Ictalurus punctatus (channel catfish) is the source of this 1117-nucleotide long non-coding RNA. NCBI's taxonomy places the organism in Eukaryota, Metazoa, Chordata, Actinopteri, Siluriformes, Ictaluridae. The record is from Ensembl.